AAUGGAGGCAGCCAGCCACGGUAGGCUCAGUGACUGGGGUGAAGUCGUAACAAGGUAGCCGUAGGGGAACCUGCGGCUGGAUCACCUCCUUUCUAAGGA
Molecule: ribosomal RNA, 99 nt
Filed under: Rhodobacter capsulatus DE442
Lineage: Bacteria; Pseudomonadati; Pseudomonadota; Alphaproteobacteria; Rhodobacterales
Also listed under: 2 other names
Description: partial 16S ribosomal RNA
Rfam family: Bacterial small subunit ribosomal RNA
Source: RNAcentral